This 93-nucleotide transfer RNA is filed under the name Colletotrichum orbiculare MAFF 240422. Its description in RNAcentral is "tRNA-Val for anticodon AAC". It matches the Rfam family "tRNA". Rfam says of the family: Transfer RNA (tRNA) molecules are approximately 80 nucleotides in length. Lineage: Eukaryota; Fungi; Ascomycota; Sordariomycetes; Glomerellales; Glomerellaceae. The record is from Rfam by way of RNAcentral.
GGUCUGGUGGUGUAGUUGGUUAUCACGUCAGUCUAACACGAGGCAAGCCUCGCUGUACACUGAAGGUCUCCGGUUCAAGUCCGGGCUAGAUCA